This is a small nuclear RNA of Suncus etruscus (white-toothed pygmy shrew), 108 nucleotides long. NCBI's taxonomy places the organism in Eukaryota, Metazoa, Chordata, Mammalia, Eulipotyphla, Soricidae. The record is from RefSeq and is a predicted model, not a curated record.
GUGCUCACUUCCGGCAGCACAUAUACUAAAAUUGGAAAGAAACAGAGAAGAUUAUCAUGGCCCCUGGGCGAGGAUGACAUGCAAAUUUGUGAAUUGGUCCAUAUUUAA